ACUCCUACGGGAGGCAGCAGUGGGGAAUCUUGCACAAUGGGCGAAAGCCUGAUGCAGCGACGCCGCGUGGGGGAUGAAGCAUUUCGGUGUGUAAACCCCUUUCGACCCGGACGAAUGCCUCGCAAGAGGAGUGACGGUACGGGUAUAAGAAGCCCCGGCUAACUACGUGCCAGCAGCCGCGGUAAGACGUAGGGGGCCAGCGUUGUUCGGAAUUACUGGGUGUAAAGGGUUCGUAGGCGGUGUGGCAAGUUGGGAGUGAAAUCUCUGGGCUCAACCCAGAGGCUGCUUCCAAAACUGCUGUGCUUGAGUGUGGGAGAGGCGCGUGGAAUUGCAGGUGUAGCGGUGAAAUGCGUAGAGAUC
RNAcentral lists this ribosomal RNA (360 nucleotides) under uncultured bacterium. RNAcentral's name for it is "bacterial SSU rRNA". It matches the Rfam family "Bacterial small subunit ribosomal RNA", at positions 335 to 698 of the family's 1533-position model. The record is from RNAcentral.